AAAUUUAUGUUUCAAUGAUGGUCAGCUUGGUCAUAUGCAGAAAAAUUAUCCAAUAGCCUAAGUUUCCACUGGAGAUAAUAAGGUCCUGGUUGAAAUUUCUUUAGCUCCUGCACCUAAGGGUGCCACACUAGGUACCGACAAUGGCCGAAAUUGCCUCUAUGCACUUGCCACUCAUCAGGAAUUUGAGGCAUCCCCAUAUGUUGUCAAUGGUAUGUUAUUGCUCUUCUCAUGUGAUUUCAUUAUUUUGUUGUUUCAGGUUCUACCCUAUCUUAUCUGACC
This 279-nucleotide long non-coding RNA is filed under the name Capsicum annuum. RNAcentral describes it as "long non-coding RNA (CANN_LNC010146)". The record is from RNAcentral. Lineage: Eukaryota; Viridiplantae; Streptophyta; Magnoliopsida; Solanales; Solanaceae.